Molecule: long non-coding RNA, 641 nt
Filed under: Nicotiana benthamiana
Lineage: Eukaryota; Viridiplantae; Streptophyta; Magnoliopsida; Solanales; Solanaceae
Description: long non-coding RNA (NBEN_LNC041402)
Source: RNAcentral
AAAGGGGCAAAAGUCAAAAACUAAAACCUGAAGGUUGCCCUACUUCCUUGCCUAUAAAGGCAUGCUUUCUUGCAUUUGAUGAAAAAAGGAGAAAAAACUUCAAAGAAUACAGAUGGCUAAGUAUUCUACUGAAAUUCACUGUUUCAUUGAGUGUUUUUUUUUUGUGAUUUCUUAUAUUUCUAAUUCCUGAAAUGAGUUUUGAUUUAUCUGAGGGUUGAAAUGGUUUGAUUUUGGGAGGCUUAAGAGUUAUUUUUGGAGUUCUGGUCGAUUUUGGUUAAUUAUUGCACAUCAUUUUCUGGAGUUGAGCUAGUUUCGCUAAGAAUCAUUGUUGUAUUGUUUUUCCUAUUGAUUUCUGUUGCCUUUGCUCGAUUAUAGCUAAUGUUUCUUCACCUUUGUUUCCUGUGUCAUUUCCAGGUAUUCCCCGAUCAUAUGGAUGCCUUUGAUUUAGCUCGAAGUAUGAACUUGAAAAUGAGAUAAUUCUUAUAUUGAGAAUUUGAAUCAUCUUCUCUUCUUUCAACUUAGUAAUUAACUUGUAAUAUUUGGUUUGAGAAAGAUUAUGAUGGAUGUACUUAUUUAAGAGUGAGUUGUAAUUGGAGUUUUGAUCAUGUUGAUUGGUAAAUGCUAUCCUCUUACAAUUUGGU